This 329-nucleotide ribosomal RNA is filed under the name uncultured eukaryote. Its description in RNAcentral is "partial 18S ribosomal RNA". It matches the Rfam family "Eukaryotic small subunit ribosomal RNA", at positions 1470 to 1796 of the family's 1831-position model. The record is from RNAcentral.
CCCUUAGAUGUUCUGGGCCGCACGCGCGCUACACUGAUGCAUUCAACGAGUCUAAAACCUGCUCUGAUAGGGGUGGGUAAUCUUUUGAAUGUGCAUCGUGAUUGGGAUAGAUGAUUGCAAUUUUUCAUCUUCAACGAGGAAUGCCUAGUAAACGCAAGUCAUCAGCUUGCAUUGAUUACGUCCCUGCCCUUUGUACACACCGCCCGUCGCUCCUACCGAUUGAAUGAUCCGAUGAAUAUCAUGGAUUGAGGAUGCAAGUAGGUUCGCCCAUCUUCAUCUUCGAGAAGUGAAGUAAAUCUUAUCAUUUAGAGGAAGGAGAAGUCGUAACA